AACCGGGAUGUUUGGAUAGAUAGUUAUAGAACUUAAAGGGGCGGGUACCACAUGAUGGGAUUUUAUAGGCUAGGUUGAGGAGACAGGGAGAAUGAUCUGAGGUUUGGGAAGGGAGGAAGAAGGCUGAACAGUUUGGGAAAAGGUUGAGGAUAUGGUUAUUGAUAAGGAGGCGGUCAAGUUUUUUAGCUAUUGGGUUCACAGGGCAACGGUUUGUCCAAGAGAAGAAGGAGCCUUGAUAGCGAAGAUCGAAGAGCCCCAUUUGAGUUAGGCAGUCCCUGAAUUGGAUCAUAUCUGGCGUCAAAGAAUUUACCGCAGAUACAGAGUGCUCAGCAGGGUGGAUUAUCUGGUUAAAGUCUCCACCUAGCAUCCAUGGGGAAGAGUGGAGAGAGAGAUUCUGAUAAGUAUUUAACAGUUCCACCCACAGGGUGCGAACAUAGAUGUUGUCUUUCCAUAUUACUAUGAUCCUACCAUCUUCAUCCGACAGGUGAUUAGAGGUGAAGUUCCAACCUCUACAGAGUUUUCCCAUAAGGUGGUUAAGGUUAUGGGUUUUGAUAUGAGUUUCUAAUAAAGUACCAAAAGAGGGUUGAUGACUAGAUAACCAUUGACAAAAAGGUGAAUGUUUUACCGGAUCAUUUAAACCACGGACAUUCCAAAAAAAGGUUUUAGUAUCCAUAGGGGUUAGUCUAUGUUCUCCUCCGGAAGGAGAGAACCAUGAGGUGACAAAAGAGAAAAGGGAUUAGAGGAGUUUAAAAUAGGUGGAAGGAGGGGGAC
This is a long non-coding RNA of Brassica oleracea var. oleracea, 771 nucleotides long. RefSeq lists it as uncharacterized. Lineage: Eukaryota; Viridiplantae; Streptophyta; Magnoliopsida; Brassicales; Brassicaceae. The transcript has 2 exons. The record is from RefSeq and is a predicted model, not a curated record.